Molecule: long non-coding RNA, 696 nt
Filed under: Mus musculus (house mouse)
Lineage: Eukaryota; Metazoa; Chordata; Mammalia; Rodentia; Muridae
Description: RIKEN cDNA 9630014M24 gene
Source: RNAcentral
AGACUGCCUUUAGCGAUCCUUAACAUUGUCCACGGCCAUUACAACAUCAAAAAGAGGCAUGAGCCAAAUGUUCUUCACAGGAAACUGGGUUGUUACAGUCCAUCAUUGAGGGAAGUCAGUUAGGAGCUUGAAGGCAGCCCUGUCACUAUUUCACUCACAUGGCCUCCAACUAAGGAACUCACUUCAUAGCUAACGCAGGUUUCUAGCAAGGUUACCCUUGAACUUGCUAAGUAUCAGAAGAUGACCUUGAACAUCUGAUCCUCCUGUGUCUACUUCCCGAGUGCCGAGAUUAGAAGCAUGUACUACCAUGACCCCUUCCUGAAAUGGUAGGGGUUAACCCCAGGGCAUCCUGCACGCUAGCCAAUUACUCUGCGCAGUGAGCUCCACCCCAGCCCUGUGUAUAUCUUUGAAACAUGCUCUGACUUUAUGCUCUAAAGAUUUAGCUGUGUGGAUUCAGCAGACCAGAGAUUAAGACAAUGUUCUCUAAACAAUUAAAUGAACAAACAUUACCAGUAGCAACACAGAACUGGGUUGGUUUUUUUUUUUUUUUCAUGCUUCUAUGAGCACUUAAUAUUAUUGUACUUAAAAUAUUUAAAAAAUAUAAUUGAUAAAUAUCAUUUUUAAAAUGCUUGCAUUUGCUAGGUUUUUAAUAAAAUUAAGCUUCUUUUCAUUUGCACAUAGAACAUUUUGGUGGUU